RNAcentral lists this ribosomal RNA (496 nucleotides) under uncultured bacterium. Its description in RNAcentral is "partial 16S ribosomal RNA". It matches the Rfam family "Bacterial small subunit ribosomal RNA", at positions 30 to 523 of the family's 1533-position model. The record is from RNAcentral.
AUUGAACGCUGGCGGCAUGCUUUACACAUGCAAGUCGAACGGUAGAGGGGGCAACCCCUUGAGAGUGGCGAACGGGUGAGUAAUGCAUCGGAACGUGCCCAGUCGUGGGGGAUAACGCAGCGAAAGCUGUGCUAAUACCGCAUACGAUCUCUGGAUGAAAGCGGGGGACCGAAAGGCCUCGCGCGAUUGGAGCGGCCGAUGUCAGAUUAGGUAGUUGGUGGGGUAAAGGCCUACCAAGCCAACGAUCUGUAGCUGGUCUGAGAGGACGACCAGCCACACUGGGACUGAGACACGGACCAGACGCCUACGGGAGGCAGCAGUGGGGAAUUUUGGACAAUGGGCGCAAGCCUGAUCCAGCAAUGCCGCGUGCAGGAAGAAGGCCUUCGGGUUGUAAACUGCUUUUGUACGGAACGAAACGGUCUGGGUUAAUACCCUGGGCUAAUGACGGUACCGUAAGAAUAAGCACCGGCUAACUACGUGCCAGCCGCCGCCGUAA